UACGAAGGGGGCUAGCGUUGCUCGGAAUGACUGGGCGUAAAGGGCGCGUAGGCGGCUUGCACAGUCAGGCGUGAAAUUCCUGGGCUCAACCUGGGGACUGCGCUUGAGACGUGUGGGCUUGAGUGGGGAAGAGGGUCGUGGAAUUCCCAGUGUAGAGGUGAAAUUCGUAGAUAUUGGGAAGAACACCGGUGGCGAAGGCGGCGACCUGGUCCUUGACUGACGCUGAGGCGCGAAAGCGUGGGUAGCAAACAGG
This 253-nucleotide ribosomal RNA is filed under the name uncultured bacterium. RNAcentral describes it as "partial 16S ribosomal RNA". It matches the Rfam family "Bacterial small subunit ribosomal RNA", at positions 524 to 776 of the family's 1533-position model. The record is from RNAcentral.